GCCGGGAUAGUCUAGUGGUUAUGACGUCUGCCUUACACGCAGAAGGUCGCGAGUUCAGUCGUCGCGAGUUCAGUCCUCGCUCCUGGUA
This 88-nucleotide transfer RNA is filed under the name Perkinsus olseni. It matches the Rfam family "tRNA". Rfam says of the family: Transfer RNA (tRNA) molecules are approximately 80 nucleotides in length. Their secondary structure includes four short double-helical elements and three loops (D, anti-codon, and T loops). Further hydrogen bonds mediate the characteristic L-shaped molecular structure. tRNAs have two regions of fundamental functional importance: the anti-codon, which is responsible for specific mRNA codon recognition, and the 3' end, to which the tRNAs corresponding amino acid is attached (by aminoacyl-tRNA synthetases). tRNAs cope with the degeneracy of the genetic code in two manners: having more than one tRNA (with a specific anti-codon) for a particular amino acid; and 'wobble' base-pairing, i.e. permitting non-standard base-pairing at the 3rd anti-codon position. Lineage: Eukaryota; Perkinsozoa; Perkinsida; Perkinsidae. The record is from Rfam by way of RNAcentral.